AAUCUCCUGUCACCACAGACCAGCCUAUUUCCCCUGAGCCUAUUACUCAACCCAGUUGCAUCAAGAGGCAGAGAGCCGCUGGGAACCCUGGCUCCCUCGCAGCUCCCAUUGACCAUAAGCCUUGCUCUGCACCCUUGGAACCUAAAUCCCAGGCCUCAAGGAACCAAAGAUGGGGAGCAGUGAGAGCAGCUGAAUCCCUUACAGCCAUUCCUGAGCCUGCCUCUCCCCAGCUUCUUGAGACACCAAUUCAUGCCUCCCAGAUCCAAAAGGUGGAACCAGCAGGUAGAUCUAGGUUCACCCCGGAGCUCCAGCCUAAGGCCUCUCAAAGCCGCAAGAGGUCUUUAGCUACCAUGGAUUCACCACCACAUCAAAAACAGCCCCAAAGAGGGGAAGUCUCCCAGAAGACAGUGAUUAUCAAGGAAGAGGAAGAAGAUACUGCAGAGAAGCCAGGGAAGGAAGAGGUGAGGAGAGGGUUGGGACCACAAAGCUGGGAAAAAUGACUUCAGGGCUCUGAAACUCCCACCAAGAUUUUUCUCAAUCUCAGGAUGUCGUGACUCCAAAACCAGGCAAGAGAAAGAGAGACCAGGCAGAGGAGGAGCCCAACAGAAUACCAAGCCGCAGCCUCCGACGGACCAAACUUAACCAAGAAUCAACAGCCCCCAAAGUGCUCUUCACAGGAGUGGUGGAUGCUCGGGGAGAGCGGGCUGUGCUGGCACUGGGGGGAAGUCUGGCUGGUUCAGCGGCAGAGGCUUCCCACCUGGUCACUGAUCGCAUCCGCCGGACAGUCAAGUUCCUGUGUGCCCUGGGGCGGGGAAUCCCCAUUCUGUCCCUGGACUGGCUGCAUCAGUCCCACAAGGCUGGUUUCUUCUUACCCCCGGAUGAAUAUGUGGUGACCGACCCUGAGCAAGAGAAGAACUUUGGCUUUAGCCUUCAAGACGCACUGAGCAGGGCUCGGGAGCGAAGGCUGCUAGAGGGCUAUGAGAUCUAUGUGACCCCUGGAGUCCAGCCACCACCACCUCAGAUGGGAGAGAUCAUUAGCUGCUGUGGAGGCACAUACCUACCCAGCAUGCCUCGGUCCUAUAAGCCUCAGAGAGUUGUGAUCACAUGCCCUCAGGACUUCCCUCAUUGCUCCAUUCCACUACGGGUUGGGCUGCCCCUCCUCUCGCCUGAGUUCCUGCUGACUGGAGUGCUGAAGCAGGAAGCCAAGCCAGAGGCCUUUGUCCUCUCCCCUUUGGAGAUGUCAUCCACCUGAGAACUCCACUACCCUUUUCCCUCCCAGACCACGAAUUAGAAGAUAUGUGGAAGAAAGAACUCAGGGCGUUAGAAAGGAUUGGGGUAUAUUGAUACAACUUGUCCUGGAACAUGGGUGGGACCAGAAAUCUUUAUGAAUAAAUGAAAAGAU
This 1402-nucleotide small RNA is filed under the name Pan troglodytes (chimpanzee). Its description in RNAcentral is "retained intron". The record is from RNAcentral. Lineage: Eukaryota; Metazoa; Chordata; Mammalia; Primates; Hominidae.